UUUAUACUCCCUCCAUCCCAAAAUUCUUGUCUUAGGUUUGUCUAAAAGUGGAUGUAUCUAAAUACUAUAACAUGACUAGAUACAUUCAUAUUUAGACAAAUCUAAGACAAGAAUUUUGAGACGGAAGAAGUAAAAC
Molecule: non-coding RNA, 136 nt
Organism: Hordeum vulgare subsp. vulgare (domesticated barley)
Lineage: Eukaryota; Viridiplantae; Streptophyta; Magnoliopsida; Poales; Poaceae
Source: Rfam